RNAcentral lists this ribosomal RNA (483 nucleotides) under Pseudocercospora sp. CPC 10039. RNAcentral's name for it is "eukaryotic LSU rRNA". The stretch from base 160 to 313 matches the Rfam family "5.8S ribosomal RNA". Lineage: Eukaryota; Fungi; Ascomycota; Dothideomycetes; Mycosphaerellales; Mycosphaerellaceae. The record is from RNAcentral.
AACCUGCGGAGGGAUCAUUACCGAGCGAGGGCUCGCGCCCGACCUCCCACCCUGUGUGAACGCGUCCCGUUGCUUCGGGGGCGACCCUGCCCUGGCGGGCGCCCCCGGAGGUCGUCCAACCCUGCAUCGUUGCGUCGGAGUUACAGUCAAUGGAAACAAAACUUUCAACAACGGAUCUCUUGGUUCUGGCAUCGAUGAAGAACGCAGCGAAAUGCGAUAAGUAAUGUGAAUUGCAGAAUUCAGUGAAUCAUCGAAUCUUUGAACGCACAUUGCGCCCUUUGGUAUUCCGAAGGGCAUGCCUGUUCGAGCGUCAUUUCACCUCUCACGCCUGGCGUGGUGUUGGGCGUCGCGGCCUCCGCGCGCCUUAAAGUCCCCGGCCGAGCCGUCCGUCUCCGAGCGUUGUGAAUCUCUAUUCGCUCCGGAGGGCGGGGGGCCGCGGCCGUUAAACCUCUCCACAGGUUGACCUCGGAUCAGGUAGGGAUA